This 444-nucleotide ribosomal RNA is filed under the name uncultured bacterium. Its description in RNAcentral is "bacterial SSU rRNA". It matches the Rfam family "Bacterial small subunit ribosomal RNA", at positions 355 to 796 of the family's 1533-position model. The record is from RNAcentral.
UAAGGAAUAUUGGUCAAUGGACGAAAGUCUGAACCAGCCAUGCCGCGUGGAGGAUGAAGGUCCUCUGGAUUGUAAACUUCUUUUAUCUGGGACGAAAAAAGGGAAUUCUUUUCCGACUGACGGUACCAGAUGAAUAAGCACCGGCUAACUCCGUGCCAGCAGCCGCGGUAAUACGGAGGGUGCAAGCGUUAUCCGGAUUCACUGGGUUUAAAGGGUGCGUAGGUGGGUUGGUAAGUCAGUGGUGAAAUCUCCGAGCUUAACUCGGAAACUGCCAUUGAUACUAUCAGUCUUGAAUACCGUGGAGGUCAGUAGAAUAUGUCAUGUAGCGGUGAAAUGCUUAGAUAUGACAUAGAAUACCGAUUGCGAAGGCAGCUGGCUACACGAAUAUUGACACUCAGGCACGAAAGCGUGGGGAUCAAACAGGAUUAGAUACCCCUGUAGUCC